RNAcentral lists this ribosomal RNA (882 nucleotides) under uncultured bacterium. RNAcentral describes it as "bacterial SSU rRNA". It matches the Rfam family "Bacterial small subunit ribosomal RNA", at positions 1 to 924 of the family's 1533-position model. The record is from RNAcentral.
GCCCUUAGAGUUUGAUCCUGGCUCAGGAUGAACGCUGGCGGUAUGCUUUACACAUGCAAGUCGUACGAGAGUUUUUAACUCAAGUGGCGGACGGGUGAGUAACACGUAAGAAUUUGCCUUUAGGAGGGGGAUAACAACUGGAAACGGUUGCUAAUACCCCAUAUGCUUUCGAGUAAAAUGGAUUUUCCGCCUAAAGAGAAGCUUGCGGCUGAUUAGCUUAUUGGUGAGGUAAUGGCUCACCAAGGCGACGAUCAGUAUCUGGUUUGAGAGGACGAUCAGACACACUGGAACUGAGACACGGUCCAGACUCCUACGGGAGGCAGCAGUGGGGAAUUUUCCGCAAUGGGCGAAAGCCUGACGGAGCAAUACCGCGUGAGGGAUGACGGCCUAUGGGUUGUAAACCUCUUUUUUCAGGGAGGAAUCAAUGACGUGUACCUGAAGAAUAAGCAUCGGCUAACUCCGUGCCAGCAGCCGCGGUAAGACGGAGGAUGCAAGUGUUAUCCGGAAUCACUGGGCGUAAAGCGUCUGUAGGUGGUCAAAUAAGUCAACUGUUAAAUCUUGAGGCUCAACCUCAAAAUCGCAGUCGAAACUAUUCGACUAGAGUAUAGUAGGGGUAAAGGGAAUUUCCAGUGGAGCGGUGAAAUGCGUAGAGAUUGGAAAGAACACCGAUGGCGAAGGCACUUUAGUGGGCUAUUACUCGCACUGAGAGACGAAAGCUAGGGUAGCAAAUGGGAUUAGAUACCCCAGUAGUCCUAGCCGUAACCAAUGGAUACUAGAUGUUGAACAGAUCGACCUGUGCAGUAUCAAAGCUAACGCGUUAAGUAUCCCGCCUGGGAAGUAUGCUCGCAAGAGUGAAACUCAAAUGAAUUGACGGGGAAGGGC